GCUGGCGGCGUGCUUACACAUGCAAGUCGAACGGUGAAGCCAAGCUUGCUUGGUGGAUCAGUGGCGAACGGGUGAGUAACACGUGAGCAACCUGCCCUGGACUCUGGGAUAAGCGCUGGAAACGGCGUCUAAUACUGGAUAUGAGCUUCUACCGCAUGGUGGGGGUUGGAAAGAUUUUUCGGUCUGGGAUGGGCUCGCGGCCUAUCAGCUUGUUGGUGAGGUAAUGGCUCACCAAGGCGUCGACGGGUAGCCGGCCUGAGAGGGUGACCGGCCACACUGGGACUGAGACACGGCCCAGACUCCUACGGGAGGCAGCAGUGGGGAAUAUUGCACAAUGGGCGGAAGCCUGAUGCAGCAACGCCGCGUGAGGGAUGACGGCCUUCGGGUUGUAAACCUCUUUUAGCAGGGAAGAAGCGAAAGUGACGGUACCUGCAGAAAAAGCGCCGGCUAACUACGUGCCAGCAGCCGCGGUAAUACGUAGGGCGCAAGCGUUAUCCGGAAUUAUUGGGCGUAAAGAGCUCGUAGGCGGUUUGUCGCGUCUGCUGUGAAAUCCCGAGGCUCAACCUCGGGCCUGCAGUGGGUACGGGCAGACUAGAGUGCGGUAGGGGAGAUUGGAAUUCCUGGUGUAGCGGUGGAAUGCGCAGAUAUCAGGAGGAACACCGAUGGCGAAGGCAGAUCUCUGGGCCGUAACUGACGCUGAGGAGCGAAAGGGUGGGGAGCAAACAGGCUUAGAUACCCUGGUAGUCCACCCCGUAAACGUUGGGAACUAGUUGUGGGGACCAUUCCACGGUUUCCGUGACGCAGCUAACGCAUUAAGUUCCCCGCCUGGGGAGUACGGCCGCAAGGCUAAAACUCAAAGGAAUUGACGGGGACCCGCACAAGCGGCGGAGCAUGCGGAUUAAUUCGAUGCAACGCGAAGAACCUUACCAAGGCUUGACAUACACCAGACGGGCCAGAAUGGUCAACUCUUUGGACACUGGUGAACAGGU
This 989-nucleotide ribosomal RNA is filed under the name Microbacterium sp. A256GA. RNAcentral's name for it is "bacterial SSU rRNA". It matches the Rfam family "Bacterial small subunit ribosomal RNA", at positions 35 to 1039 of the family's 1533-position model. Lineage: Bacteria; Bacillati; Actinomycetota; Actinomycetes; Micrococcales; Microbacteriaceae. The record is from RNAcentral.